GCUAAGGGGAAGGUUUGUGAGUAUAAGCAGCUCAAGGAAACUCCAAAACAGAGGAUUGUACAGAGGCUGCAUGCAGCUGAGGGGGUGAUCUGCAUAGAAUCACAGCUGACUAUUGUGAUCUGUCACAAAAGCAAGGGAGUAGCUCUGCAUUAUCCUGGCGCAAGAGGAGAACCAAUUUUCAGUAUGUUUAUUAAACAGGACUCACUUGAGCACCUCUGCAAAACCAGUCCAGUGUCUUGAACACCAGGAUUCAGCAGGAAAAAGAAUACAGCAAAGUUUAGUGUCAUCUCUGAGAACUGCAUGCCUAGAAAAUGUCAUCAGUGUGAAUGUAUAUCUCUGUAUCUCAGCAAAGUCCUAGGCAGGUGGGCCAAAGGAUGGGAUGGCUGGCUUAAAAUAGCUCAAAUGUCCUGGUGACUGUGAAACAGCUUCACUUUAAGUAUUCUUAGUUGUCUUACUGACUGAGGCUCACAGGCUAAGUAAAUCCUCAGCAGUUUUCAGCUGAAACUAAAUCUGGGAGGAGUGAUUGAAUGCCAAAUGGUUGUGUGACCAUUCAGACGGACCUUGACUUCCAUAGCUACUGUCACAAGUGUGGCUUGUGCAGGCCCUGCAUGAGCAACACCAACACACCUAAGUAGCAAACUGGCAAUUUUCAUAUCAAGGCACAGGGCCUAACCUCAUGCUGCCACUGUUUAUUCUCAUCAGCACUUAAAAACUCAAAAGUGAAUGGAGCUCAAUUCAGCAAGAGUGCCAGGACAGGAUUCCUCUCUCAUGACUGCAGCUCUUAGUUCAGGGCAGAAGAUUCCAAGCUUCUCUUGAUCAACUCUGUCAGGAGAUGUGUGACCUUGGGUCACGUGGCACUUGAAAGCUUUCCUUUGGGUACACAAAAAAAGUUUUCUGAAGAAACAGAGAACCGACAAGGGGGAUGUGUGCAGCAGCACAUGAUUUUGUAGCUGUGGAGAGGCACUGGCCCUGCAACUGCAGUGAACUUCCAGCACGAGACUACCCUCAUGAAUGCAGGUGAUGCAAAGCCUGUAAAAAUUGCCAUUUGUAUGUGUGCAUGGUAAAAGCAGAGAGUUGGUCACAGACCUCUCAACAUCAGGAUGAUUUAUCCACAUUUGUGAGACCAGCUGUAGUGGGUUAGUCCCAGUCCAACACAGCCACUCACUCAUUCACUCUCCAUUAAGUGGAAUGUAAAAGGGUGUCAAAAGGGUAAACAUGUGAAAACUUAGGGGUUGAGAUA
This 1240-nucleotide long non-coding RNA is filed under the name Cyanistes caeruleus (blue tit). RNAcentral describes it as "lncRNA (ENSCCEG00000009687.1)". Lineage: Eukaryota; Metazoa; Chordata; Aves; Passeriformes; Paridae. The record is from RNAcentral.